GAUGAACGCUGGCGGCGUGCUUAACACAUGCAAGUCGAACGCUGGAGCUCAGCUUUUGUUGGGUGGAUGAGUGGCGAACGGGUGAGUAACACGUGAGUAACCUGCCUCCUUCUUUGGGAUAACGCCCGGAAACGGGUGCUAAUACUGGAUAUUCACUGGUCUUCGCAUGGGGGUUGGUGGAAAGGGUUUUUCUGGUGGGGGAUGGGCUCGCGGCCUAUCAGCUUGUUGGUGGGGUGAUGGCCUACCAAGGCUUUGACGGGUAGCCGGCCUGAGAGGGUGACCGGUCACAUUGGGACUGAGAUACGGCCCAGACUCCUACGGGAGGCAGCAGUGGGGAAUAUUGCACAAUGGGCGCAAGCCUGAUGCAGCGACGCCGCGUGCGGGAUGACGGCCUUCGGGUUGUAAACCGCUUUCGCCUGUGACGAAGCGUGAGUGACGGUAAUGGGUAAAGAAGCACCGGCUAACUACGUG
This 471-nucleotide ribosomal RNA is filed under the name uncultured bacterium. Its description in RNAcentral is "partial 16S ribosomal RNA". It matches the Rfam family "Bacterial small subunit ribosomal RNA", at positions 28 to 507 of the family's 1533-position model. The record is from RNAcentral.